RNAcentral lists this ribosomal RNA (255 nucleotides) under uncultured bacterium. Its description in RNAcentral is "partial 16S ribosomal RNA". It matches the Rfam family "Bacterial small subunit ribosomal RNA", at positions 99 to 354 of the family's 1533-position model. The record is from RNAcentral.
CGGACGGGUGAGUAACGCGUGGAAAACCUGCCGUAUACUGGGGGAUAACACUUAGAAAUAGGUGCUAAUACCGCAUAAGCGCACAGCCUCGCAUGAAGCGGUGUGAAAAACUCUGGUGGUAUACGAUGGUUCCGCGUCUGAUUAGCUAGUUGGUGGGGUAAUGGCCUACCAAGGCAACGAUCAGUAGCCGGCCUGAGAGGGUGAACGGCCACAUUGGGACUGAGACACGGCCCAAACUCCUACGGAAGGCAGCAG